UUGAGGGCCCUGCUCAGUGAGUUUACAUGUUAGAGGGAGUGGGGUAUAGUGACACAGUAACAGAGGGAUUGAGGGCCCUGCUCAGUGAGCUUACAUGCUAGAGGGAGUGGCACAACGGGUCGGGUAGAAAAGUAGAUUGCUAGAAUUCACUGAGGACUUAGUGGGUUAUUUUUGACAUUUGCAGGAGAGGAAACAGUGUGCGGGGAGGUAAAGCUGUUAACAGUUUAAUUGAUAUACUUAGG
Molecule: non-coding RNA, 242 nt
Organism: Pelobates cultripes (western spadefoot toad)
Lineage: Eukaryota; Metazoa; Chordata; Amphibia; Anura; Pelobatidae
Source: the annotation of a GenBank genome assembly